GACGAACGCUGGCGGCGCGCCUAACACAUGCAAGUCGAACGGAGUCAAGAGGAGCUUGCUUUUCUUGACUUAGUGGCGAACGGGUGAGUAACGCGUGAGUAACCUGCCCUGGAGUGGGGGACAACAGUUGGAAACGACUGCUAAUACCGCAUAAGCCCACGGAUCUGCAUGGAUCUGCGGGAAAAGGAUUUAUUCGCUCUAGGAUGGACUCGCGUCCAAUUAGCUAGUUGGUGAGGUAACGGCCCACCAAGGCGACGAUUGGUAGCCGGACUGAGAGGUUGAACGGCCACAUUGGGACGAGGACACGGCCCAGACUCCUACGGAAGGCGGCAGGGGGGAUAUUGCACAAUGGGGGAAACCCUGAUGCAGCGACGCCGCGUGGAGGAAGAAGGUUUUCGGAUUGUAAACUCCUGUCGUCAGGGACGAUAAUGACGGUACCUAACAAGAAAGCACCAGCUAACUACGUG
RNAcentral lists this ribosomal RNA (467 nucleotides) under uncultured bacterium. Its description in RNAcentral is "partial 16S ribosomal RNA". It matches the Rfam family "Bacterial small subunit ribosomal RNA", at positions 28 to 507 of the family's 1533-position model. The record is from RNAcentral.